Molecule: non-coding RNA, 211 nt
Organism: Pelobates cultripes (western spadefoot toad)
Lineage: Eukaryota; Metazoa; Chordata; Amphibia; Anura; Pelobatidae
Source: the annotation of a GenBank genome assembly
CUGGCUCCACUGGUCUGGUGUAGAACAGGAUCUCUGGAGGCUGUUUGUAACUGUGGUCACAAAAUCAAUGUUCUGGGAGAACGGGAAGCAGCUCCAUUUUUGGGGGGGCCCUUUACACAGCUCAAGGUCUGGGUCCCAGGGUCCACCUUCAUGUUCCACCAAUGAGUUUGUUCACAGGGGGUGGAGUGUGUAGGGGAUGUCCUGAUAUGUG